Molecule: ribosomal RNA, 509 nt
Filed under: uncultured bacterium
Lineage: Bacteria
Description: bacterial SSU rRNA
Rfam family: Bacterial small subunit ribosomal RNA
Source: RNAcentral
GACGAACGCUGGCGGCGUGGAUUAGGCAUGCAAGUCGAACGGUAUCAUCCUUUCGGGGGUGAGAGAGUGGCGAACUGGUGAGUAACACGUAGGUUAUCUACCCUCAAGACGGGGACAACCCAGGGAAACUUGGGCUAAUACCGGAUGUGAGCAACUUUUAGUUGUUUGAAAGGUGGCGUAAGCUGUCGCUUGGGGAUGAGCCUGCGUCCUAUUAGUUAGUUGGUGAGGUAACGGCUCACCUAGGCAAUGAUAGGUAGGCGGCCUUAACGGGUGGUCGCCCACACUGGGAUUGAGAUACGGCCCAGACUCCUACGGGAGGCAGCAGUCGAGAAUAGUCUACAAUGGUCGGAAGACUGAUAGUGCGACGCCGCGUGAACGAUGAAUCCCUUCGGGGUGUAAAGUUCUUUUAUAUGUGAGCAGUGCUUCUUAUAUUAACAGUAUGGGGAGAGAGAUAUUAGCAUAAUGAAUAAGCAACGGCUAACUCCGUGCCAGCAGCCGCGGUAAACUCG